This 452-nucleotide ribosomal RNA is filed under the name uncultured Streptococcus sp. RNAcentral describes it as "bacterial SSU rRNA". It matches the Rfam family "Bacterial small subunit ribosomal RNA", at positions 929 to 1382 of the family's 1533-position model. The record is from RNAcentral. Lineage: Bacteria; Bacillati; Bacillota; Bacilli; Lactobacillales; Streptococcaceae.
GCGGUGGAGCAUGUGGUUUAAUUCGAAGCAACGCGAAGAACCUUACCAGGUCUUGACAUCCCGAUGCUAUUUCUAGAGAUAGAAAGUUACUUCGGUACAUCGGUGACAGGUGGUGCAUGGUUGUCGUCAGCUCGUGUCGUGAGAUGUUGGGUUAAGUCCCGCAACGAGCGCAACCCCUAUUGUUAGUUGCCAUCAUUCAGUUGGGCACUCUAGCGAGACUGCCGGUAAUAAACCGGAGGAAGGUGGGGAUGACGUCAAGUCCUCAUGGCCUUUAUGCCUAGGGCUACACACGUGCUACAAUGGGCGGUACAAAGGGUUGCAAUCCCGCGAGGGGGAGCCAAUCCCAAAAAGCCGUUCUCAGUUCGGAUUGGAGUCUGCAACUCGACUCCAUGAAGUUGGAAUCGCUAGUAAUCGUGGAUCAGCAUGCCACGGUGAAUACGUUCCCGGGCCUU